UACGGAAGGCAGCAGUGGGGAAUCUUGCGCAAUGGGCGAAAGCCUGACGCAGCCAUGCCGCGUGAAUGAUGAAGGUCUUAGGAUUGUAAAAUUCUUUCACCGGGGACGAUAAUGACGGUACCCGGAGAAGAAGCCCCGGCUAACUUCGUGCCAGCAGCCGCGGUAAUACGAAGGGGCUAGCGUUGCUCGGAAUUACUGGGCGUAAAGGGAGCGUAGGCGGACAUUUAAGUCAGGGGUGAAAUCCCGGGGCUCAACCUCGGAAUUGCCUUUGAUACUGGGUGUCUUGAGUAUGAGAGAGGUGUGUGGAACUCCGAGUGUAGAGGUGAAAUUCGUAGAUAUUCGGAAGAACACCAGUGGCGAAGGCGACACACUGGCUCAUUACUGACGCUGAGGCUCGAAAGCGUGGGGAGCAAACAGGGAUUAGAUACC
RNAcentral lists this ribosomal RNA (429 nucleotides) under uncultured bacterium. Its description in RNAcentral is "bacterial SSU rRNA". It matches the Rfam family "Bacterial small subunit ribosomal RNA", at positions 340 to 786 of the family's 1533-position model. The record is from RNAcentral.